AUCAAGAGUUGAUCAAGGAUCGAAUCAAGGAGGCUUGGAACCAAUUCAAGAGUUGAAGACCAGUUGAUCGAUUGACGUGCAUGUGCUUGUAAUACGACCUAACUAGAAUCCAUGAUCAUCACCUAUUUAAAGUUUAGCUUUAAUUAUUGCUGCGAUUAUAACUGCCUGCAAUGUGCCGUUUGCAUGUGAUGUGAAUGUGAGUCGGGUAGAUAGGUUUACAUGUGAUGUAGCAAACCCAAUUGAGACCUAAAUCAAAACCUCCUCAAUCAAGUCGAGAGUGAACCGACAUGAGCAAGUCAUAUUANN
Molecule: long non-coding RNA, 306 nt
Filed under: Phoenix dactylifera (date palm)
Lineage: Eukaryota; Viridiplantae; Streptophyta; Magnoliopsida; Arecales; Arecaceae
Description: long non-coding RNA (PDAC_LNC011894)
Source: RNAcentral